GUAGGAUUCAUGACUGGGGUGAAGUCGUAACAAGGUAGCCGUAUCGGAAGGUGCGGCUGGAUCACCUCCUUUUAGA
This 76-nucleotide ribosomal RNA is filed under the name Candidimonas sp. SYP-B2681. RNAcentral's name for it is "partial 16S ribosomal RNA". It matches the Rfam family "Bacterial small subunit ribosomal RNA", at positions 1462 to 1533 of the family's 1533-position model. Lineage: Bacteria; Pseudomonadati; Pseudomonadota; Betaproteobacteria; Burkholderiales; Alcaligenaceae. The record is from RNAcentral.